GUGAGGAAUAUUGGUCAAUGGGCGAGAGCCUGAACCAGCCAAGUCGCGUGAGGGAAGACGGUACUAAGUAUUGUAAACCUCUUUUGUCAGGGAACAAAGAGACCACGUGUGGUAAGAUGAGUGUACCUGAAGAAAAAGCAUCGGCUAACUCCGUGCCAGCAGCCGCGGUAAUACGGAGGAUGCGAGCGUUAUCCGGAUUUAUUGGGUUUAAAGGGUGCGUAGGCGGCGUAUCAAGUCAGCGGUUAAAUGUCGGGGCUCAACCUCGGCCUGCCGUUGAAACUGAUGAGCUAGAGAGGAUGAGAAGUAUGCGGAAUGCGUGGUGUAGCGGUGAAAUGCAUAGAUAUCACGCAGAACUCCGAUUGCGAAGGCAGCAUGCCGGCAUCUAUCUGACGCUGAGGCACGAAAGCGUGGGGAUCGAACAGGAUUAGAAACCCUUGUAGUCC
Molecule: ribosomal RNA, 443 nt
Filed under: uncultured Bacteroidales bacterium
Lineage: Bacteria; Pseudomonadati; Bacteroidota; Bacteroidia; Bacteroidales
Description: bacterial SSU rRNA
Rfam family: Bacterial small subunit ribosomal RNA
Source: RNAcentral